GGAUGUUGGCUUAGAAGCAGCCAUCAUUUAAAGAAAGCGUAAUAGCUCACUGGUCGAGUCGGCCUGCGCGGAAGAUGUAACGGGGCUAAACUAUGCACCGAAGCUGCGGCAACGAUAUGUAAAUAUUGUUGGGUAGGGGAGCGUUCUGUAAGCCUGUGAAGGUGUGCUGUGAGGCAUGCUGGAGGUAUCAGAAGUGCGAAUGCUGACAUAAGUAACGAUAAUG
Molecule: ribosomal RNA, 223 nt
Filed under: Providencia rettgeri
Lineage: Bacteria; Pseudomonadati; Pseudomonadota; Gammaproteobacteria; Enterobacterales; Morganellaceae
Description: partial 23S ribosomal RNA
Rfam family: Bacterial large subunit ribosomal RNA
Source: RNAcentral